UACGUAUGGAGCAAGCGUUAUCCGGAUUUACUGGGUGUAAAGGGAGUGUAGGUGGCCAGGCAAGUCAGAAGUGAAAGCCCGGGGCUCAACCCCGGGACUGCUUUUGAAACUGCAUGGCUAGAGUGCAGGAGGGGCAAGUGGAAUUCCUAGUGUAGCGGUGAAAUGCGUAGAUAUUAGGAGGAACACCAGUGGCGAAGGCGGCUUGCUGGACUGUAACUGACACUGAGGCUCGAAAGCGUGGGGAGCAAACAGG
RNAcentral lists this ribosomal RNA (253 nucleotides) under [Lactobacillus] rogosae. Its description in RNAcentral is "Lactobacillus rogosae partial 16S ribosomal RNA". It matches the Rfam family "Bacterial small subunit ribosomal RNA", at positions 524 to 776 of the family's 1533-position model. Lineage: Bacteria; Bacillati; Bacillota; Clostridia; Lachnospirales; Lachnospiraceae. The record is from RNAcentral.